UACAGAGGGUGCGAGCGUUAAUCGGAAUUACUGGGCGUAAAGGGCACGUAGGUGGAUAGAUAAGUCACGAGUGAAAGGCCUGGGCUCAACCUAGGAAGUGCUUGUGAUACUGUUUGUCUAGAGUACAGUAGAGGGGUGUGGAAUUUCCGGUGUAGCGGUGAAAUGCGUAGAUAUCGGAAGGAACAUCGGUGGCGAAGGCGACACCCUGGACUGCUACUGACACUGAGGUGCGAAAGCGUGGGUAGCGAACAGG
This 253-nucleotide unclassified non-coding RNA is filed under the name uncultured Gammaproteobacteria bacterium. RNAcentral's name for it is "contains 16S-23S intergenic spacer region". It matches the Rfam family "Bacterial small subunit ribosomal RNA", at positions 524 to 776 of the family's 1533-position model. The record is from RNAcentral. Lineage: Bacteria; Pseudomonadati; Pseudomonadota; Gammaproteobacteria.